GUCCCUUCGGGGACAUCCGAUAAAAUUAGAAUGAUACAGAGAAGAUUAGCACGGCCCCUGCGCAAAGAUGAUACACAUAAAUCGAGAAAUUGUCCAACUUUUU
RNAcentral lists this small nuclear RNA (103 nucleotides) under Nicotiana attenuata. The record is from RNAcentral. Lineage: Eukaryota; Viridiplantae; Streptophyta; Magnoliopsida; Solanales; Solanaceae.